RNAcentral lists this ribosomal RNA (259 nucleotides) under uncultured Streptomyces sp. Its description in RNAcentral is "partial 16S ribosomal RNA". It matches the Rfam family "Bacterial small subunit ribosomal RNA", at positions 252 to 525 of the family's 1533-position model. Lineage: Bacteria; Bacillati; Actinomycetota; Actinomycetes; Kitasatosporales; Streptomycetaceae. The record is from RNAcentral.
GUUGUGCUGAGGCCUACCAGGCGACGACGGGUAGCCGGCCUGAGAGGGCGACCGGCCACACUGGGACUGAGACACGGCCCAGACUCCUACGGGAGGCAGCAGUGGGGAAUAUUGCACAAUGGGCGAAAGCCUGAUGCAGCGACGCCGCGUGAGGGAUGAUGGCCUUCGGGUUGUAAACCUCUUUCAGCAGGGAAGAAGCGAGAGUGACGGUACCUGCAGAAGAAGCGCCGGCUAACUACGUGCCAGAGCCGCGGGCCGA